Molecule: unclassified non-coding RNA, 336 nt
Filed under: soil metagenome
Description: partial contains 5.8S ribosomal RNA, internal transcribed spacer 2, and large subunit ribosomal RNA
Rfam family: 5.8S ribosomal RNA (bases 1-120)
Source: RNAcentral
GAUGAAGAACGUAACGAAAUGCGAUAAGUAGUGUGAAUUGCAGAAUUCAGUGAAUCAUCGAAUCUUUGAACGCACAUUGCGCCCCUUGGUAUUCCAUGGGGCAUGCCUGUUCGAGCGUCAUUUGUACCUUCAAGCUUUGCUUGGUGUUGGGUGUUUGUCUCGCCUUUGCGUGUAGACUCGCCUUAAAAUAAUUGGCAGCCGGCGUAUUGAUUUCGGAGCGCAGUACAUCUCGCGCUUUGCACUCAUAACGACAGCGUCCAAAAGUACAUUUUACACUCUUGACCUCGGAUCAGGUAGGGAUACCCGCUGAACUUAAGCAUAUCAAUAAGCGGAGGA